GAACAAAUAGCAUUUUGUACCCGCACUACAAUGCAGGAGAACGCCAAACACCGCUUUAUUGCAUUCAAACCUUCUAAGAGGAAUCGGGCACUCAUGACUUCACUUCCCAGAGCUCUGCCCAGCUGCCCAGCAGCCUGGAGAUUUCCAGAACAAUGGGGAGUAGGUCACCCUGCCCUGAUAGGCACCAGGGGGUGGAAACGCCUCCUCGCCCACAACACAAUCACUCUCACCCCUUUCCUGGCUAAAUCCCACCUCCCACCCUCCCGCCAGCUCCCCUCCCAUGCUCCCAAUCCUUGGGACCUCUUGGGGAAUUAUCCAAGGAGAGUUCUGCCUGCUGUAUUUUCACUAGGGUCUUGGGACUUCUGCAGGCAGUCAGCCCAAGUGCCUACAGCCUGCCUACUUGGGGGAGCAGAUGGAGAGUGUGGCACCAGCAGAAAAUACCCAGAAAGCCGGGUACAAAGCCUCAGUAAAGUCCACCCUGAACUUAUACAUCAGGUGGACCUUGUCGGCAACAGCGAAGAAGAUGACAAAGCCGUGG
This is a long non-coding RNA of Homo sapiens (human), 538 nucleotides long. Lineage: Eukaryota; Metazoa; Chordata; Mammalia; Primates; Hominidae. The record is from Ensembl.